CGGGUGAGGAAUACAUCGGAAUCUACUCUGUCGUGGGGGAUAACGUAGGGAAACUUACGCUAAUACCGCAUACGACCUACGGGUGAAAGCAGGGGAUCUUCGGACCUUGCGCGAUUGAAUGAGCCGAUGUCGGAUUAGCUAGUUGGUGAGGUAAUGGCUCACCAAGGCGACGAUCCGUAACUGGUCUGAGAGGAUGAUCAGUCACACUGGAACUGAGACACGGUCCAGACUCCUACGGGAGGCAGCCAGCC
This 251-nucleotide ribosomal RNA is filed under the name uncultured Stenotrophomonas sp. RNAcentral's name for it is "partial 16S ribosomal RNA". It matches the Rfam family "Bacterial small subunit ribosomal RNA", at positions 103 to 352 of the family's 1533-position model. The record is from RNAcentral. Lineage: Bacteria; Pseudomonadati; Pseudomonadota; Gammaproteobacteria; Lysobacterales; Lysobacteraceae.